Theobroma cacao (cacao) is the source of this 1419-nucleotide non-coding RNA. The record is from RefSeq and is a predicted model, not a curated record. NCBI's taxonomy places the organism in Eukaryota, Viridiplantae, Streptophyta, Magnoliopsida, Malvales, Malvaceae.
CUGCUUUUUUGCUGACGGGGCUAUUUCUUUCCUUUAUUAGCAGUUCUUGACGUCAACUGCCGAGCUUCAGAGCGACGACCGCAAGCAAUAAGAAUCAAAAUAAGCUAAAGACCCCGAAGCUUUUCUCGCGCCUGCCUUUCCUUUUACCCCAUUGCUUCUCUUGCUCUCCAGUUGUGAAUGCAGAUGGUUCCAUAUUUCACCUGACAUGCAUCUGUUGUCGGAAACUUGGACAUGGGAACCCCUAGUGUUUUAUGGAAUGUCGCAAAGAAGUGUUUCACGGUUGGGCUUGUCUCGCUUACAGUUUCAGAUCGAUUUGCCAGUAUAGUGUCAGUCCGGGGUGGCUCAAUGUCUCCCACGUUUAAUCCCAAAACCAAUACCUUGUUUGGUUCAUUGAGUGAUGACUAUGUUCUGGUGGAGAAGUUUUGCCUUCAAAAAUACAAAUUUUCACAUGGCGAUGUGGUAGUUUUCAGCUCUCCAUAUGAUCACAAGGAGAAACAUGUAAAGAGAAUUAUUGGCUUACCAGGUGAUUGGGUUGGGACUCAUUACGAUGUCGUGAAGGUUCCAGAAGGACAUUGUUGGGUUGAGGGAGACAAUUCAGCUUCAAGCAUGGACUCGAGGUCUUUUGGCCCUGUUCCUUUGGGUUUGGUUAAUGGAAGGGUCGUCCACAUUCUGUGGCCUCCGCACAGAGUAGGCAGCGUCGAGAGAAAAGCUCCUCAACAGAGAGUUUCUUCCUCCUAAUUGCAUCUGAACCACAAUUUUUUCAUGGACAGUUAUACAAGUGUUUCCAUGCAAUUUUUCGCAUUCGGUGAUCUCUUUGGUUUAGUAGAAAGAAAACAGAAUGGGAAGGCUGUUCGUGAUCACUCUCGAGGGAAGCGUUUAUAGCUGCAAGCACUGCCAAACCCAUCUUGCUCUCCUCGAUGACAUUAUCUCUAAGUCUUUCCACUGCAGGCAUGGAAAGGCUUAUCUCUUUGAUAAGGUUGUGAAUAUCACAGUAGGAGAGAAAGAAGAGCGCAUGAUGAUGACUGGAAUGCACACUGUUGUUGAUAUAUUCUGUGUUGGGUGUGGCUCGAUUGUGGGAUGGAAAUACUGUGACUGAUUGUAGGAGGCUGCACAUGAGAAGUUACAGAAGUACAAAGAGGGAAAAUUCAUUCUUGAGAGGUUUAAGGUGUUGGGCCCUGAUGGAAGCAAUUACUUGGUGAGUCAGGAAGCUAUGGUUGGUGGAAGUGAUGCUGAUGAUGCUUGAUUGCAAUUCAGUUUGCCAUUUGAUCAAAUGUUUUAAUUGUACAUUCUCUGCAUCUCAUGUGCUUGUUGGCCUGCUAUUUAGGCUCUUAAAUUGGAAUUAUUUUUUCUGUUACAGAACAUUCUUUGCCAAUAGUAUUAUUAGAAUGAUUCCGUUCUUCAAAGUCCGGGUUGCUUUUA